This 265-nucleotide ribosomal RNA is filed under the name Acinetobacter radioresistens WC-A-157. RNAcentral's name for it is "partial 16S ribosomal RNA". It matches the Rfam family "Bacterial small subunit ribosomal RNA", at positions 1031 to 1296 of the family's 1533-position model. The record is from RNAcentral. Lineage: Bacteria; Pseudomonadati; Pseudomonadota; Gammaproteobacteria; Moraxellales; Moraxellaceae.
GAUACAGGUGCUGCAUGGCUGUCGUCAGCUCGUGUCGUGAGAUGUUGGGUUAAGUCCCGCAACGAGCGCAACCCUUUUCCUUAUUUGCCAGCACUUCGGGUGGGAACUUUAAGGAUACUGCCAGUGACAAACUGGAGGAAGGCGGGGACGACGUCAAGUCAUCAUGGCCCUUACGGCCAGGGCUACACACGUGCUACAAUGGUCGGUACAAAGGGUUGCUACACAGCGAUGUGAUGCUAAUCUCAAAAAGCCGAUCGUAGUCCGG